RNAcentral lists this ribosomal RNA (1318 nucleotides) under Staphylococcus aureus. RNAcentral describes it as "partial 23S ribosomal RNA". It matches the Rfam family "Bacterial large subunit ribosomal RNA", at positions 1603 to 2925 of the family's 2925-position model. Lineage: Bacteria; Bacillati; Bacillota; Bacilli; Caryophanales; Staphylococcaceae. The record is from RNAcentral.
CACUGCCGAGAAAAGCCUCUAGAUAGAAAAUAGGUGCCCGUACCGCAAACCGACACAGGUAGUCAAGAUGAGAAUUCUAAGGUGAGCGAGCGAACUCUCGUUAAGGAACUCGGCAAAAUGACCCCGUAACUUCGGGAGAAGGGGUGCUCUUUAGGGUUAACGCCCAGAAGAGCCGCAGUGAAUAGGCCCAAGCGACUGUUUAUCAAAAACACAGGUCUCUGCUAAACCGUAAGGUGAUGUAUAGGGGCUGACGCCUGCCCGGUGCUGGAAGGUUAAGAGGAGUGGUUAGCUUCUGCGAAGCUACGAAUCGAAGCCCCAGUAAACGGCGGCCGUAACUAUAACGGUCCUAAGGUAGCGAAAUUCCUUGUCGGGUAAGUUCCGACCCGCACGAAAGGCGUAACGAUUUGGGCACUGUCUCAACGAGAGACUCGGUGAAAUCAUAGUACCUGUGAAGAUGCAGGUUACCCGCGACAGGACGGAAAGACCCCGUGGAGCUUUACUGUAGCCUGAUAUUGAAAUUCGGCACAGCUUGUACAGGAUAGGUAGGAGCCUUUGAAACGUGAGCGCUAGCUUACGUGGAGGCGCUGGUGGGAUACUACCCUAGCUGUGUUGGCUUUCUAACCCGCACCACUUAUCGUGGUGGGAGACAGUGUCAGGCGGGCAGUUUGACUGGGGCGGUCGCCUCCUAAAAGGUAACGGAGGCGCUCAAAGGUUCCCUCAGAAUGGUUGGAAAUCAUUCAUAGAGUGUAAAGGCAUAAGGGAGCUUGACUGCGAGACCUACAAGUCGAGCAGGGUCGAAAGACGGACUUAGUGAUCCGGUGGUUCCGCAUGGAAGGGCCAUCGCUCAACGGAUAAAAGCUACCCCGGGGAUAACAGGCUUAUCUCCCCCAAGAGUUCACAUCGACGGGGAGGUUUGGCACCUCGAUGUCGGCUCAUCGCAUCCUGGGGCUGUAGUCGGUCCCAAGGGUUGGGCUGUUCGCCCAUUAAAGCGGUACGCGAGCUGGGUUCAGAACGUCGUGAGACAGUUCGGUCCCUAUCCGUCGUGGGCGUAGGAAAUUUGAGAGGAGCUGUCCUUAGUACGAGAGGACCGGGAUGGACAUACCUCUGGUGUACCAGUUGUCGUGCCAACGGCAUAGCUGGGUAGCUAUGUGUGGAUGGGAUAAGUGCUGAAAGCAUCUAAGCAUGAAGCCCCCCUCAAGAUGAGAUUUCCCAACUUCGGUUAUAAGAUCCCUCAAAGAUGAUGAGGUUAAUAGGUUCGAGGUGGAAGCAUGGUGACAUGUGGAGCUGACGAAUACUAAUCGAUCGAAGACUUAAUCAA